Molecule: long non-coding RNA, 442 nt
Filed under: Mytilus galloprovincialis (Mediterranean mussel)
Lineage: Eukaryota; Metazoa; Mollusca; Bivalvia; Mytilida; Mytilidae
Source: RNAcentral
AGGCCACGGUUUUUUAAUUUGUUGGUUUACGGAUUUUUCUCAUAAAAAAGUCGGGUCGGUCGGUCGGAAAAAAAAAGAAAAAAAAAUAUCUUUUCAAACAGAAAAAUAUCAAAAUAAAUAUAUAUUUCACCUUACUUAACAAAAUGUUUGUCUUAUUUGCUGUUUUGUAACCAUUUCUUAACAUUUCGUUCGAUGAAAUAUUAUUGAUCAGUGAUCAUGAACAUCGCAGGACAUCGUUUAAUAACUUCCUGUAAAAAGAGGGGUUGCACGGACAAAGACGAAAUUAAAUCGUCAUUUCACAAACAAGAAAAAACAGAUUCCGUAGCUCUCAAUCAAUUCCAGAAAACUUGGUAAAUAAUGAUCUUCAGUUACAAAAACUGAUAAAGAAAAAAAAAAUAAGUUUCAACACACGUGUCGAAAAACGUAAUAGACUCGUCCACUG